UCAAACUUGGUCAUUUAGAGGAAGUAAAAGUCGUAACAAGGUUUCCGUAGGUGAACAUCUCUUUGCAGGUUCGCCAGAAUAAAAAGUCUCUUUUUGGUAGGCAACAUCUCUACUGUGCUGGGAUUUACAUUUGUAAUACCAGCAGCCUAGAAAUAGGCUCACAGGUCAAAUGGAGGUGGCCCAGUAUAGGGUUAAGAUAUGAUCGGGAGGCUGCUGGAAACAACAGCUAUACUUCCGCUGCGGAAGGAUCAUUACAGAGAGAACUUUGCCCCUUUGGGGUAGAUCUCCCACCCUUUGUUUAUAUUACCUUUGUUGCUUUGGCAGGCCCGUCUUUUGACCACCGGCUUAGGCUGGUCCGCGCCUGCCAGAGAACCCUAAACUCUUGUCUUUUGUGUUGUCUGAGUAAUAUUUUAUAAUAAGUUUAAAACUUUCAACAACGGAUCUCUUGGUUCUGGCAUCGAUGAAGAACGCAGC
RNAcentral lists this unclassified non-coding RNA (474 nucleotides) under uncultured fungus. Its description in RNAcentral is "partial contains small subunit ribosomal RNA, internal transcribed spacer 1, and 5.8S ribosomal RNA". The stretch from base 426 to 474 matches the Rfam family "5.8S ribosomal RNA", at positions 1 to 49 of the family's 154-position model. The record is from RNAcentral. Lineage: Eukaryota; Fungi.